Molecule: ribosomal RNA, 465 nt
Filed under: uncultured bacterium
Lineage: Bacteria
Description: partial 16S ribosomal RNA
Rfam family: Bacterial small subunit ribosomal RNA
Source: RNAcentral
CUACGGGCCGCUGCAGUGAGGAAUUUUGCGCAAUGGGGGCAACCCUGACGCAGCAACGCCGCGUGAGUGAAGAAGGCCUUUGGGUCGUAAAACUCUGUCAAUGGGGAAGAAGUUACUAUGUUUAAAUAGAGUGUAGUAUUGACGGUACCCAUGAAGGAAGCACCGGCUAACUCCGUGCCAGCAGCCGCGGUAAUACGGGGGGUGCAUGCGUUAUUCGGAAUUAUUGGGCGUAAAGGGCACGCAGGCGGUCUUGCCAGUCAGAUGUGAAAGCCCGGGGCUCAACCCUGGAAGUGCAUUUGAAACUAGAAGACUUGAGUACGGUAGAGGAAAGGGGAAUUCCUGGUGUAGAGGUGAAAUUCGUAGAUAUCAGGAGGAACACCGGUGGCGAAGGCGCCUUUCUGGACCGAAACUGACGCUGAGGUGCGAAGGCGUGGGUAGCGAACAGGAUUAGAUACCCCUGUAGUC